Molecule: ribosomal RNA, 99 nt
Organism: Ictidomys tridecemlineatus (thirteen-lined ground squirrel)
Lineage: Eukaryota; Metazoa; Chordata; Mammalia; Rodentia; Sciuridae
Source: Ensembl
UAUGACCACCCUGAAUGCGUCCAAUCUUGUUAGACCUUGGAAGUUAAGCAGGGAUGGGACUGGUUAGUACUUGGAUGGGAUAUGGCAAUCCGUGAAUGA